CAGGACGAACGCUGGCGGCGUGCCUAACACAUGCAAGUCGAGCGAGGAGAUCCUUCGGGAUGAUCCUAGCGGCGGACGGGUGAGUAACACGUGGGCAACCUGCCUCAUAGAGAGGAAUAGCCUUCCGAAAGGGAGAUUAAUACCUCAUAACAUUGCAGUUUCGCAUGGAACAGCAAUUAAAGGAGUAAUCCGCUAUGAGAUGGGGCCCCGCGGCGCAUUAGCUAGUUGGUGAGGUAAUGGCUCACCAAGGCGACGAUGCGUAGCCGACCUGAGAGGGUGAUCAGCCACAUUGGGACUGAGACACGGCCCAGACUCCUACGGGAGGCAGCAGUGGGGAAUAUUGCACAAUGGGGGAAACCCUGAUGCCAGCAACGCCGCGUGAGUGAUGACGGCCUUCGGGUUGUAAAGCUCUGUCUUCAGGGACGAUAAUGACGGUACCUGAGGAGGAAGCCACGGCUAACUACGUGCCAGCCGCCGC
This 478-nucleotide ribosomal RNA is filed under the name uncultured bacterium. Its description in RNAcentral is "bacterial SSU rRNA". It matches the Rfam family "Bacterial small subunit ribosomal RNA", at positions 25 to 518 of the family's 1533-position model. The record is from RNAcentral.